GUUGAUCCUGCGUGAGACUUCCGCUAGAGGGGGUAGAUUUAGCCAUGAAAGUGUGUUGGGUUCGUCCCAACCGCAGAAUGCUGAGUAACACGUCGUUAACCUUCCUUAUGGUCUCCAAUAAUCUCGGGAAACUGAGUGUAAAAGGGAUAGAUAUUUCAAGCUGGAAUGCUGGAAUAUUGAAUCAUAAGAUGGGACGGCGGCCGAUUAGGUAGUUGGUGAGGUAAUGGCUCACCAAGCCAACGAUCGGUAGGGGUCGUGAGAGCGAUGACCUCCAGAGGGACACUGAGAUAAGGGUCCCAGCCCUAAGGGGUGCAGCAGGCGCGAAACCUCUACAAUGCACGCAAGUGUGAUAAGGUAACCCCUCGUGCUUACCGACAAGGUAGGCUUUUGUAUAGCUUAGUGCGCUAUACGAAUAAGUGGUGGGCAAGACCGGUGCCAGCAGCCGCGGUAAUCCCGGCGCCACAAGUGGAAGUCACUUCUAUUGGGUCUAAAGUAUUCGUAGCCGUUUUUAUAAGUUUCUUGUGAAAGCCCUGCAGCUUAACUCAGGAAUUGCAAGAAAUACUGUAAAAAUUGGGACUGGGAGAGGUAUGAGGUAUUGUUUGGGUAGCGGUAAAAUGUUAUAAUCCUUACAAGACCAACUAAUGCGAAGGCAUCAUACUUGAACAGAUCCGACGGUGAGGAAUGAGAGCUGGGGGAGCAAACCGGAUUAGAUACCCGGGUAGUCCCAGCUGUAAACUCUGCAGGUUACGCUUUGCCAAAUCUACGAGAUUUGGCAGGGGGGAAGCGAAGGCAUAAACCUGCCACCUGGGAAGUACAGUCGCAAGACCGAAACUUAAAGGAAUUGCCGGGGGAGUACUACAAGGGGUGCGGCGUGCGGUUUAAUUGGAUUCUACACCGAGCAUCUUACCAGGGGCGACAGCAGGAUGAGGGUCAGUCUAAAGGGCUUACCUAACGCGCUGAGAGGUGCUGCAUGGCCGCCGUCAGCUCGUGCUGUAAGGUGUCCUCUUAAGUGAGGAAACGAGCAAGACCUAUGCCUAUAAUUGCUAACACGGUUUACGUGUGCACUUUAUAGGGACUGCCUUGGAAACAAGGAGGAAGGUGUAGGCUACGGUAGGUCUGUAUAGCCCGAAUCUCCUGGGCUACACGCGCGCAACAAUGGAUAGGACAAUGAGUUGCAACUCUGAAAAGGGAAGCUAAUCUCGAAACCUAUUCUUAGUUUAAAUUGGGGCUUGUAACUCAGCCCCAUGACACCGGAAUCCCUAGUAACCGGACGUUAUCAGCGUCCGGUGAAUAUGUCCAUUCUCCUUGGACACACUGCCCGUCAAGCCAAUCAAGUGAGGUCAAGACGAGUUGCCUUUUUUUGAAGGCACCAAGUCUGGGCUUCAUAAGAGGGGCUAAGUCGGCACAAGGUA
This 1412-nucleotide ribosomal RNA is filed under the name metagenome. RNAcentral describes it as "bacterial SSU rRNA". It matches the Rfam family "Archaeal small subunit ribosomal RNA". The record is from RNAcentral.